This 839-nucleotide ribosomal RNA is filed under the name Olleya sp. S601. RNAcentral describes it as "bacterial SSU rRNA". It matches the Rfam family "Bacterial small subunit ribosomal RNA", at positions 346 to 1188 of the family's 1533-position model. Lineage: Bacteria; Pseudomonadati; Bacteroidota; Flavobacteriia; Flavobacteriales; Flavobacteriaceae. The record is from RNAcentral.
AGGCAGCAGUGAGGAAUAUUGGACAAUGGAGGUAACUCUGAUCCAGCCAUGCCGCGUGCAGGAAGACUGCCCUAUGGGUUGUAAACUGCUUUUAUACAGGAAGAAACACUGCUACGUGUAGCAGCUUGACGGUACUGUAAGAAUAAGGAUCGGCUAACUCCGUGCCAGCAGCCGCGGUAAUACGGAGGAUCCAAGCGUUAUCCGGAAUCAUUGGGUUUAAAGGGUCCGUAGGUGGAUAAUUAAGUCAGAGGUGAAAUCCUGCAGCUCAACUGUAGAAUUGCCUUUGAUACUGGUUAUCUUGAGUUAUUAUGAAGUAGUUAGAAUAUGUAGUGUAGCGGUGAAAUGCAUAGAUAUUACAUAGAAUACCAAUUGCGAAGGCAGAUUACUAAUAAUAUACUGACACUGAUGGACGAAAGCGUGGGGAGCGAACAGGAUUAGAUACCCUGGUAGUCCACGCCGUAAACGAUGGUCACUAGCUGUUCGGACUUCGGUUUGAGUGGCUAAGCGAAAGUGAUAAGUGACCCACCUGGGGAGUACGUUCGCAAGAAUGAAACUCAAAGGAAUUGACGGGGGCCCGCACAAGCGGUGGAGCAUGUGGUUUAAUUCGAUGAUACGCGAGGAACCUUACCAGGGCUUAAAUGUAAAUUGACAGGUUUAGAGAUAGACUUUUCUUCGGACAAUUUACAAGGUGCUGCAUGGUUGUCGUCAGCUCGUGCCGUGAGGUGUCAGGUUAAGUCCUAUAACGAGCGCAACCCCUGUUGUUAGUUGCCAGCGAUUUAAGUCGGGAACUCUAACAAGACUGCCAGUGCAAACUGUGAGGAAGGUGGGGAUGACGUCAA